This 69-nucleotide transfer RNA is filed under the name Gymnogobius heptacanthus. RNAcentral's name for it is "tRNA-His". It matches the Rfam family "tRNA". From Rfam's summary of the family: Transfer RNA (tRNA) molecules are approximately 80 nucleotides in length. Their secondary structure includes four short double-helical elements and three loops (D, anti-codon, and T loops). The record is from RNAcentral. Lineage: Eukaryota; Metazoa; Chordata; Actinopteri; Gobiiformes; Gobiidae.
GUAGGCAUAGUUUAACAAAGACAUUAGAUUGUGAUUCUAAAAAUAGGGGUUAAACCCCCCUUGUCCACC